This 460-nucleotide ribosomal RNA is filed under the name uncultured bacterium. RNAcentral's name for it is "partial 16S ribosomal RNA". It matches the Rfam family "Bacterial small subunit ribosomal RNA", at positions 338 to 795 of the family's 1533-position model. The record is from RNAcentral.
CCUACGGGGGGCAGCAGUGAGGAAUAUUGGUCAAUGGCCGGAAGGCUGACCCAGCAAUGCCGCGUGAAGGUCAGUGCCCUAUGGGCGUUAAACUUCUUUUGUGCGGGAGCAAUAAUGGUCACGUGUGGCCAGACGAGAGUACCGUACGAAUAAGCAUCGGCUAACUCCGUGCCAGCAGUCGCGGUAAUACGGGGGAUGCAAGCGUUAUCCGGAUUUAUUGGGUUUAAAGGGUGCGUAGGCUGUGAGGUAAGUCAGCGGUGAAAUGCCCCCGCUCAACGGGGUGAAGUGCCAUUGAUACUGCCGUGCUGGAAUGCGGAUGCCGUGGGAGGAAUGUGUGGUGUAGCGGUGAAAUGCAUAGAUAUCACACAGAACACCGAUUGCGAAGGCAUCUCACGAAUCCGCGAUUGACGCUGAUGCACGAAAGCGUGGGUAUCAAACAGGAUUAGAUACCCGUGUAGUC